Molecule: ribosomal RNA, 422 nt
Filed under: uncultured eukaryote
Lineage: Eukaryota
Description: bacterial SSU rRNA
Rfam family: Eukaryotic small subunit ribosomal RNA
Source: RNAcentral
CAAUAGCGUAUAUUAAAGUUGUUGCGGUUAAAAAGCUCGUAGUUGGAUUUCUGUCGAAGACGGUCGGUCCGCUCUAUGAGCGAGUAUCUGAUUCGGCUUUGGCAUCCUCGUGGGGAACGUAACUGUGCUUGAUUGCAUGGUGCGGAAUUCACGACUUUUACUUUGAGGAAAUUAGAGUGUUUCAAGCAGGCAUGCGCCUUGAAUACAUUAGCAUGGAAUAAUAAGAUAGGACCUCGGUUCUAUUUUGUUGGUUUCUAGAGCUGAGGUAAUGAUUAAUAGGGAUAGUUGGGGGUAUUCAUAUUUAAAUUGUCAGAGGUGAAAUUCUUGGAUUUAUGAAAGAUGAACUUAGGCGAAAGCAUUUACCAAGGAUGUUUUCAUUAAUCAAGAACGAAAGUUAGGGAUCGAAGAUGAUUAGAUAUCAU